GUGCCAGCAGCCGCGGUAAUACGUAGGGAGCAAGCGUUGUCCGGAUUUACUGGGCGUAAAGGGCGCGUAGGCGGUUUGUUAAGUGUGAAGUGAAAUCUCCAGGGCUCAACCCGGAAACUGCUUCGCAUACUGGCAGACUAGAGGAAUGCAGAGGUGAUUGGAAUUCCCGGUGUAGCGGUGACAUGCACUGAUAUCGGGAGGAACACCCGCGGCGAAGGCGGAUCACUGGGCAUUAUCUGACGCUGAGGCGCGAAAGCGUGGGUAGCAAACAGGAUUAGAUACCCUGGUAGUCC
RNAcentral lists this ribosomal RNA (293 nucleotides) under uncultured prokaryote. Its description in RNAcentral is "partial 16S ribosomal RNA". It matches the Rfam family "Bacterial small subunit ribosomal RNA", at positions 505 to 796 of the family's 1533-position model. The record is from RNAcentral.